Molecule: ribosomal RNA, 661 nt
Filed under: uncultured Pseudomonadota bacterium
Lineage: Bacteria; Pseudomonadati; Pseudomonadota
Description: bacterial SSU rRNA
Rfam family: Bacterial small subunit ribosomal RNA
Source: RNAcentral
CGAGCGGGCGAGGUUGCUUCGGUAACUGAGCUAUCGGCGGACGGGGGAGUAAUGCUUAGGAAUCUGCCUAUUAGUGGGGGACAACAUUCCGAAAGGAAUGCUAAUACCGCAUACGCCCUACGGGGGAAAGCAGGGGAUCUUCGGACCUUGCGCUAAUAGAUGAGCCUAAGUCAGAUUAGCUAGUUGGUGGGGUAAAGGCCUUACCAAGCGACGAUCUGUAGCGGGUCUGAGAGGAUGAUCCGGCACACUGGGACUGAGACACGGCCCAGACUCCUACGGGAGGCAGCAGUGGGGAAUAUUGGACAAUGGGCGCAAGCCUGAUCCAGCCAUGCCGCGUGUGUGAAGAAAGGCCUUUUGGUUGUAAAGCACUUUAAGCGAGGAGGAGGCUACUUGGAUUAAUACUCUAGGAUAGUGGACGUUACUCGCAGAAUAAGCACCGGCUAACUCUGUGCCAGCAGCCGCGGUAAUACAGAGGGUGCGAGCGUUAAUCGGAUUUACUGGGCGUAAAGCGUGCGUAGGCGGCUUCUUAAGUCGGAUGUGAAAUCCCUGAGCUUAACUUAGGAAUUGCAUUCGAUACUGGGAAGCUAGAGUAUGGGAGAGGAUGGUAGAAUUCCAGGUGUAGCGGUGAAAUGCGUAGACAUCUGGAGGAUACCGAUGGCGA